GGGCGCGCACGCAGCGGCAGGCGCGGCAAUGUCGCAAGAGCGCGCGGGUUUACGGCAGGGCUGAGUUGGGCGUCGAUCUCCUUAGCAAUGAGAGAGAGGAAGUAGCUAUGGGGCGGCGGUUGAGAACGCUAGGGGUUGCCUAGUAACGGCGUCCCCAGCUAAGGAUGGGUCCCAGGCCUGGUUCCCUGAUCCCAAGAGGCGCCUUUCUUCUAGUCUUCGGAGCGUCUUCCUUCCAUUCUAACUGUGGAAACGGCUCACUUAAAUCCUGAAAUACUUUAUUUAGUUUUUCAUAAAACGAAACAAAACCCGAAACACCUUUAGAUAUGUGUAUUGGAGAGUAGCGUACAGACUCCUGCAACCUCCGGAUCUCAAGGAACAAAGACAGCAGAGAGGAAGAAAUUCACUGGACUACCCCAACAGGAAGAAGAAAGAUUUCCUCCUUGCCCAGCAACAGCCCAGCCAAUGAGAAACUGCCACCACUCAGCCAAUGAGAAACCGUUACUACCCUGAACUCCUGCUUUGCUCCAAGGGAAUUUUGUUCAGAGCAGCCCCCUCCAACGUCCUCCUUUCGCUGCACGGAGUAAUGUUCCCCCAUUUUGUUCUCCGGACUCGCCCUCGGUUUACCAUAGCUAGCGUGUCCCAAAUAAAUUCCUCUGCAAUUCCCAAAUAAACUCAUUUUUUUUUUUGGUAAAA
Molecule: long non-coding RNA, 693 nt
Organism: Neofelis nebulosa (Clouded leopard)
Lineage: Eukaryota; Metazoa; Chordata; Mammalia; Carnivora; Felidae
Exons: 2
Source: RefSeq, a predicted model, not a curated record